GUUCUGGCCAGGAGACUUUGCGUUCGGUUGGAAUUGUUACAGAGUUCAGCUGGAGGUUUCCUUCUCCCUGUGGCCUUUUCCCAGUUCCUCUGGCAGCCCUCCUCAAGGACCCCUGUGAGAUAAGUCAGAGGUGACUUUCCUGGGGACCCAGAGAACCCACAAGGCUUUUCCCACUGCUUACUGUAUUUUGCUCGGCUCUCUAAAUUGAAUCAAUUGCAGAACAGAGCAGGACCCAGGAUGCAAGACCCUAGGCAUCCCCAAGGCCUUCCACUGUCCCCAGGCCUUCCAAAGAGACAGCGGCAGGACCGCACAAUCUACAACUGGAAACAGCAGGAAGUGCUAGAAAAUCACUUUAAGGAGGAACAGUACCCAGACUAUGACACACGACAAGAGCUGGCGGAGAUGCUCAAUCUCAGGGAGUACCAAGUGCAGGUGUGGUUCAAGAAUCGCCGGGCCAAACGCUCUCGGGAGCGGUGGUUCCAGAAGCAGCU
Homo sapiens (human) is the source of this 491-nucleotide long non-coding RNA. Ensembl annotates it as tetrapeptide repeat homeobox like (pseudogene). Its record names the gene TPRXL. The record is from Ensembl. Lineage: Eukaryota; Metazoa; Chordata; Mammalia; Primates; Hominidae.